This 253-nucleotide ribosomal RNA is filed under the name uncultured bacterium. RNAcentral describes it as "partial 16S ribosomal RNA". It matches the Rfam family "Bacterial small subunit ribosomal RNA", at positions 524 to 776 of the family's 1533-position model. The record is from RNAcentral.
UACGGAGGGUGCGAGCGUUGUCCGGAAUCACUGGGCGUAAAGGGCGCGUAGGUGGCCGAGCAAGGUCGCGGUGAAAGCCCGGGGCUCAACCCCGGGUCGGCCGUGGCAACUACUCGGCUCGAGCACUGUAGGGGCGGGUGGAAUUCCGGGUGUAGCAGUGAAAUGCGUAGAGAUCAUGAGGAAGACCAGUGGCGAAGGCGGGUCUCUGGACAGUUCCUGACACUGAGACACGAAGGCCAGGGGAGCAAACGGG